This 1521-nucleotide unclassified non-coding RNA is filed under the name Bombyx mandarina (wild silkworm). RNAcentral describes it as "uncharacterized LOC114252907, transcript variant X1". The record is from RNAcentral. Lineage: Eukaryota; Metazoa; Arthropoda; Insecta; Lepidoptera; Bombycidae.
GCCCCCGCUGCAAUGGAAACUUGGAAGGAUUAUCCGCACGUUACCCGGCAAGGAUGGAGUGAUCAGAGUCGUGGAUUUGGACACGAAGCAUGGAAGUCUGCGGAGACCUGUGUUCAAGUUAGCCAGGUUGCCGCUGGAUUCAGCACAUGAAGAAGUUCAGCCCCGGCCGCCCCAGGAUGUUCGCGCGACAGCGCGACGUUUAUAAAUGUUCGGCUCAACUCGGGUGCCGUCGCCCGUACGCACCCCGCACCUCUCAUAACAGUGCGGUACAUGACGGCACGCGGAGAUACGCUCGUUCGAUAUUGAGUAAAUUGUGCGCGCGCGCCUUUCGAUACUAAGUAAAAGGUUGAGUGUGAACCGGUGAAAAGGUGUAUGUGCCACCCAUCGCAGAGGAACACCACUACGACCGUGAUAGUGCCAGCAUCAGCUCCAAGUAAGUCCCGUUUUCCUACCUACCCUUUCGUGUCCGCUCAUUCUCCGCAGAGUUCAUUUGCUCCCUUUCAGCUCAUCAGCUCACGUUUAAGGUGACGCUCACCUGCGUCACCAGUCACUAAACAAUUAGUAUAUCAAACCUUUUUGAUCACUAGAUUUUUUUUGUCUAUUUUUAGUACUGGUCUGACAAAAAAAGUUCAAUUAAAAAAAAAGUGGCAGCACAUGCUGCAGCUAGGCGCAGGACUGGUGGUGGUGUGGAGGAUGAAAUUGAGCUAUCAGAAAUAGAGGAGCGUAUAGUUUCAUUAUGUGGUGGUGAAGGCUAUUCCAUAGGAAAUCCAAACGUCCGUUAUAAUCCAUUCCCGGUGAGAUAGUAAUCACCUGUUAAGGUCUUAAUAAGUAUGGUAUAUCUAUUUAAUUAAUAUUGACAUACUUUAAAAGGGCAUGAAAACAGUUUAUUUCAAUCGCGAAAUCAAAAACAAAAAUAAUAUUUUGUAUUAAUUAAAUGUAAUCACUAAUUAUUAGGCGUUGCAAGUUGCAUCGAAAUAAAUUAUUUUGUUAAUAUAUUUUUUUGUAUAGGGUUACAACUAAUUCGUUUUUAGGAGGCAAUACCACAAGUUGCAGUACAAGAUGCUGGCACUUCAUAUACAUCCAAUGUUAACAAAAGUCCCGUUUUAUUUGAGGAACAUAUUCCGGUGCUGGAGCUACAACAAAUAGAAAGUACCAACCAAAAACGUCAAAAUACUGCAAGGAGACUUUUUGCCAGCUUGGAAGAUGUUUCAAUCGCUGAAACAAGCCAGAACAUCCCACAGCAAGUGCUUCAAGUACCGAACUUGUCACCUCCCCCUCCUACUCUUUCACAUACGCCAAGCCCCCUGUCUAUGCCCAUUGCUUCCCCCUCUCGUCGCGGCACUACCACCACCGCCGGUACCAGCUCUCGCCCCAGCGUAGUAAUUCGUCCUCGUCGAAAUGAUGCACAUCCAUCAACGGGUCAAGAACGGCCUAUUUUGCGGUCAUCCUCCCCCAUUUCAACGCAAAGAACUCCUUAUCGCCGUGGAACUACAGGUAGCUCCAGCCGCAGUAGAGCUCGCA